Molecule: ribosomal RNA, 447 nt
Filed under: uncultured bacterium
Lineage: Bacteria
Description: partial 16S ribosomal RNA
Rfam family: Bacterial small subunit ribosomal RNA
Source: RNAcentral
CCAGACUCCUACGGGAGGCAGCAGUGGGGAAUAUUGGACAAUGGGGGGAACCCUGAUCCAGCGACGCCGCGUGAGUGAAGAAGUAUUUCGGUAUGUAAAGCUCUAUCAGCAGGGAAGAAAGAAAUGACGGUACCUGACUAAGAAGCCCCGGCUAACUACGUGCCAGCAGCCGCGGUAAUACGUAGGGGGCAAGCGUUAUCCGGAUUUACUGGGUGUAAAGGGAGCGCAGACGGCAGUGCAAGUCUGGAGUGAAAGCCCUUGGCUUAACCACGGGACUGCUCUGGAAACUGUGCAGCUAGAGUGCAGGAGAGGCAGGCGGAAUUCCUAGUGUAGCGGUGAAAUGCGUAGAUAUUAGGAGGAACACCGGUGGCGAAGGCGGCCUGCUGGACUGUAACUGACGUUGAGGCUCGAAAGCGUGGGGAGCAAACAGGAUUAGAUACCCCCGUA